RNAcentral lists this unclassified non-coding RNA (387 nucleotides) under uncultured Verrucomicrobiae bacterium. Its description in RNAcentral is "contains 16S-23S intergenic spacer region". The record is from RNAcentral. Lineage: Bacteria; Pseudomonadati; Verrucomicrobiota; Verrucomicrobiia.
UCCUCGUUUAAGCGAGGCAGUCUGUCCAGAGUGCUCCCUGCUCUCGCAGGGGUGGCAACAGGACACAAGGGUUGCGCUCGUUGCGGGACUUAACCCAACAUCUCACGACACGAGCUGACGACAGCCAUGCAGCACCUGUGCAAGCUCCCCUUGCGGGGUCGUCCCACUUUCAUGGUCCUACCACUUGCAUGUCAAGGCCAGGUAAGGUUCUUCGCGUUGCAUCGAAUUAAGCCACAUACUCCACCGCUUGUGCAGGCCCCCGUCAAUUUCUUUGAGUUUUAAUCUUGCGACCGUACUUCCCAGGCGGCGCAUUUAUCGCGUUAGCUUCGCCACGAACGGGGUCGAUUCCGCCCACAGCAAAUGCGCACCGUUUACGGCUAGGACUAC